Taeniopygia guttata (zebra finch) is the source of this 695-nucleotide non-coding RNA. The record is from RefSeq and is a predicted model, not a curated record. Lineage: Eukaryota; Metazoa; Chordata; Aves; Passeriformes; Estrildidae.
CACAGCUCCCCUGUGGACGGGCAGCCGGGCACACAGUGAGCGGUGCUUGGGCCGGACGUGCAGGGCCCUGGACAGGCUCAUGGGAUCACCAUGGCGGGCUGCAGUGGUGAAGCAGUGUUGGAGGCAGGCAGCAACACAGGGAGGCAGGACAGGCAACAGCUGGAGCAGGCGAGGGAGGCAAGGACAUUACCUAAGAGGAAAAAAACACCAUCUGUUUGCAGCCAGAAACAAUUUCCGACUGUAGAUGUCAUGAAAACUGGAAAAGAAUGUAAGGACCACCACGUGUCCUGAUGAAGAGAAGAUUAUUAUUUUACUUGUGAUGGCAUUAUAGAAAGUGGAUUGAUAUUAAAAAAAAAUUAAACAAAACAUGGUGGGUAUAUUCCUUUAACCUGAAGCCAAAUCAUACACUCAGCAUUGAUGUCAUAUUGGUGAGUCAUGUUUUAUAGGACUUAUGAUUCAAAAGUGAAAUUGUGUUUUUACAUUCUUAUUUUAAACUGUGACAUUCAUGAAUUAGUAAUUUUUUUCUUUAGGGUAAGGAGAAUAAAAGACAAUAACUCUGGAUUUUCUAGAAGAAAAUAAUGAAAAAUAUCCCUAUGACUUUGAGUCAUAAAAGCAAAGGAGCAAUUUCUGAACUUUUUUUCCAGUAACAUUAUUCAUGUAGGGUAUAAAACAUUAUGCUGUGGUAUAAAGUUCUA